RNAcentral lists this ribosomal RNA (468 nucleotides) under uncultured bacterium. Its description in RNAcentral is "partial 16S ribosomal RNA". It matches the Rfam family "Bacterial small subunit ribosomal RNA", at positions 28 to 507 of the family's 1533-position model. The record is from RNAcentral.
GACGAACGCUGGCGGCGUGCUUAACACAUGCAAGUCGAACGGAAAGGCCCUGCUUUUGUGGGGUGCUCGAGUGGCGAACGGGUGAGUAACACGUGAGUAACCUGCCCUUGACUUUGGGAUAACUUCAGGAAACUGGGGCUAAUACCGGAUAGGAGCUCCUGCUGCAUGGUGGGGGUUGGAAAGUUUCGGCGGUUGGGGAUGGACUCGCGGCUUAUCAGCUUGUUGGUGGGGUAGUGGCUUACCAAGGCUUUGACGGGUAGCCGGCCUGAGAGGGUGAACGGCCACAUUGGGACUGAGAUACGGACCAGAGUCCUACGGGAGGCAGCAGUGGGGAAUAUUGCACAAUGGGCGGAAGCCUGAUGCAGCAACGCCGCGUGCGGGAUGACGGCCUUCGGGUUGUAAACCGCUUUCGCCUGUGACGAAGCGUGAGUGACGGUAAUGGGUAAAGAAGCACCGGCUAACUACGUG